This 231-nucleotide ribosomal RNA is filed under the name uncultured bacterium. RNAcentral's name for it is "partial 16S ribosomal RNA". It matches the Rfam family "Bacterial small subunit ribosomal RNA", at positions 89 to 334 of the family's 1533-position model. The record is from RNAcentral.
CGUAAAGUGGCGCACGGGUGAGUAACACGUGGAUCAUCUACCUUUUAGUGGGGAAUACCUCUGGGAAACCGGAGACAAUACCGCAUAAGCCUGUAAAGGGAGAGCAGCAAUGCGCUGAAAGAGGAGUCCGCGGCCGAUUAGCUAGUUGGCGGGGUAAUGGCCCACCAAGGCGAAGAUCGGUAGCCGGCCUGAGAGGGCACACGGCCACACUGGCACUGAAACACGGGCCAG